UGGCGUAAUGAUGGCCAGGCUGUCUCCACCCGAGACUCAGUGAAAUUGAACUCGCUGUGAAGAUGCAGUGUACCCGCGGCAAGACGGAAAGACCCCGUGAACCUUUACUAUAGCUUGACACUGAACAUUGAGCCUUGAUGUGUAGGAUAGGUGGGAGGCUUUGAAGUGUGGACGCCAGUCUGCAUGGAGCCGACCUUGAAAUACCACCCUUUAAUGUUUGAUGUUCUAACGUGGACCCGUGAUCCGGGUUGCGGACAGUGUCUGGUGGGUAGUUUGACUGGGGCGGUCUCCUCCUAAAGAGUAACGGAGGAGCACGAAGGUUGGCUAAUCCUGGUCGGACAUCAGGAGGUUAGUGCAAUGGCAUAAGCCAGCUUGACUGCGAGCGUGACGGCGCGAGCAGGUGCGAAAGCAGGUCAUAGUGAUCCGGUGGUUCUGAAUGGAAGGGCCAUCGCUCAACGGAUAAAAGGUACUCCGGGGAUAACAGGCUGAUACCGCCCAAGAGUUCAUAUCGACGGCGGUGUUUGGCACCUCGAUGUCGGCUCAUCACAUCCUGGGGCUGAAGUAGGUCCCAAGGGUAUGGCUGUUCGCCAUUUAAAGUGGUACGCGAGCUGGGUUUAGAACGUCGUGAGACAGUUCGGUCCCUAUCUGCCGUGGGCGCUGGAGAACUGAGGGGGGCUGCUCCUAGUACGAGAGGACCGGAGUGGACGCAUCACUGGUGUUCGGGUUGUCAUGCCAAUGGCACUGCCCGGUAGCUAAAUGCGGAAGAGAUAAGUGCUGAAAGCAUCUAAGCACGAAACUUGCCCCGAGAUGAGUUCUCCCUGAGACUUUAGGUCUCCUGAAGGAACGUUGAAGACGACGACGUUGAUAGGCCGGGUGUGUAAGCGCAGCGAUGCGUUGAGCUAACCGGUACUAAUGAACCGUGAGGCUUAACCUUACA
Molecule: ribosomal RNA, 937 nt
Filed under: Salmonella enterica
Lineage: Bacteria; Pseudomonadati; Pseudomonadota; Gammaproteobacteria; Enterobacterales; Enterobacteriaceae
Description: partial 23S ribosomal RNA
Rfam family: Bacterial large subunit ribosomal RNA
Source: RNAcentral